CNCAAACUCUCUUUGUGGCCUGCGUAGUGU
This 30-nucleotide non-coding RNA is filed under the name Mus musculus (house mouse). The record is from RNAcentral. Lineage: Eukaryota; Metazoa; Chordata; Mammalia; Rodentia; Muridae.